Molecule: long non-coding RNA, 414 nt
Organism: Dermacentor silvarum
Lineage: Eukaryota; Metazoa; Arthropoda; Arachnida; Ixodida; Ixodidae
Exons: 2
Source: RefSeq, a predicted model, not a curated record
AUAGUUUUCCUGAGAAUUUCCAUGCAUGCAAUUUUGAUUCUGUCUGCUAGCAUGUUUGUAUUACAGCAUGAAUUUCAUAGAUUAGAGGCUCCAUGAAGGUACAUUCUGUCGUUGAAUGUCUAUGAGAUGGUUAAGCAGGUUGACUGUAUCUAGUUACAACUCCUCAUGUCCUGUGGCAGUUACGUUUGUGUGGUUUGGUGCUGUCAGUGUAAGCUUAACAUUUCUUUCCUUCUCCCAGGAAGGACACAAGCAUUGAGGAGCCAUUUGACCUGCCACUACACUGAUACGGUAUUUGGCAAAGGCAGGAGGCAUCUGCAAGCAACCAAUCAUUCCGAUUCUCAACCAAUCCUUCUAGUCAGCCCAUUUCUAGUGUCUUAUCUUGCAAGUUUUUUUCAGUAAAGCACAAUAAACACG